UACGAAGGGGGCUAGCGUUGCUCGGAAUCACUGGGCGUAAAGGGCGCGUAGGCGGCCAUUCAAGUCAGGGGUGAAAGCCUGUGGCUCAACCACAGAAUUGCCUUUGAUACUGUUUGGCUAGAGACCGGAAGAGGUAAGUGGAACUGCGAGUGUAGAGGUGAAAUUCGUAGAUAUUCGCAAGAACACCAGUGGCGAAGGCGGGUUGCUGGGCUGAUACUGACGCUGAGGCGCGAAAGCCAGGGGAGCGAACGGG
RNAcentral lists this ribosomal RNA (253 nucleotides) under uncultured bacterium. RNAcentral describes it as "partial 16S ribosomal RNA". It matches the Rfam family "Bacterial small subunit ribosomal RNA", at positions 524 to 776 of the family's 1533-position model. The record is from RNAcentral.